AGAUAUUCAAUGCUGGAAGGCUUUGAUAUCGAAAGCGCAAGCGCCAGAGGGUGAGUCUGCGGCUAUCAGGUAGUAGGUGGUGUAACGGACCACCUAGCCUAAGACGGGUACGGGCCUUGAGAGAGGGAGCCCGGAGAUGGGUUCUGAGACACGAACCCAGGCCCUACGGGGCGCAGCAGGCGCGAAACCUUCGCACUGCGCGAAAGCGCGACGAGGGGAGCCCGAGUGCCUCUCCAUUUCGGGGAGGCUUUUCACAAGCCUAAAAAGCUUGUGGAAUAAGGGCUGGGCAAGACGGGUGCCAGCCGCCGCGGUAAUACCCGCAGCUCGAGUGGUGGUCGCUUUUAUUGAGCCUAAAACGUUCGUAGUCGGCCUUGUAAAUCCCUGGGUAAAUCGGACCGCUUAACGGUUCGAAUUCCGGGGAGACUGCAAGGCUAGGGACCGGGCGAGGUCAGAGGUACUUUCGGGGUAGGAGUGAAAUCCUGUAAUCCCGAAGGGACCACCUGUGGCGAAAGCGUCUGACUUGAACGGCUCCGACGAUGAGGAACGAAGGCUAGGGGAGCAAACCGGAUUAGAUACCUGGGUAGUCCUAGCUGUAAACUCUGCCCGCUUGGUGUGGCCUGUCCUUCGGGGGCAGGCUGUGCCGGAGCGAAGGUGUUAAGCGGGCUGCUUGGGGAGUACGGCCGCAAGGUUGAAACUUAAAGGAAUUGGCGGGGGAGCACCGCAACGGGAGGAUGCGUGCGGUUUAA
Molecule: ribosomal RNA, 746 nt
Filed under: uncultured Thermoplasmatales archaeon
Lineage: Archaea; Methanobacteriati; Thermoplasmatota; Thermoplasmata; Thermoplasmatales
Description: bacterial SSU rRNA
Rfam family: Archaeal small subunit ribosomal RNA
Source: RNAcentral